CUGUUAUUUUCUCACUUCCUCCUCUCGAGCACUCUUACCUUCCCCGCCAUACUUGAGCUACUGUAAUGCAUUGUCCAAUCGCUGCUAUGUAUGCUUUUUCGCUACUUUUAAACAGUAUCAAGUGAGGGUGUAAAUACCUGGUUGGUGUCAGCCGGCGACGACCUUCUUGUCUCCGGAGAGAAGAGCUGCGUCUGAAUACCUUUUCGAGUGUUGUACGCAAAACUUUUCAAGUAGUGGAGGUCUUGGUAGCCCAUCCUACUUGUUCAUCUAUGAGCGCUCUUUCA
Molecule: non-coding RNA, 284 nt
Organism: Caenorhabditis elegans
Lineage: Eukaryota; Metazoa; Nematoda; Chromadorea; Rhabditida; Rhabditidae
Source: Ensembl